Non-coding RNA from Picea glauca (white spruce), 119 nucleotides. Lineage: Eukaryota; Viridiplantae; Streptophyta; Pinopsida; Pinales; Pinaceae. The record is from Rfam.
UAAUGUAAUGCCAACAACGUUAAUGCACCGGAUCCCAUUAGAAAUUUGUAAUUAAGUGUGAUUGGGCUAGAGUAGUACUAGGAUGGGUGACCCUGUGGGAAUUCCUAGUGUUACCUAGU